RNAcentral lists this ribosomal RNA (508 nucleotides) under uncultured bacterium. RNAcentral's name for it is "bacterial SSU rRNA". It matches the Rfam family "Bacterial small subunit ribosomal RNA", at positions 15 to 508 of the family's 1533-position model. The record is from RNAcentral.
GAUCCUGGCUCAGGAUGAACGCUAGCUACAGGCUUAACACAUGCAAGUCGAGGGGAAACGAUAGAGAAAGCUUUGCGUUUUUCUAGGCGUCGACCGGCGCACGGGUGAGUAACGCGUAUCCAACCUGCCCAUCACUUGGGGAUAACCUUGCGAAAGUAAGACUAAUACCCAAUGACGUCUCUAGAAGACAUCUGAAAGAGAUUAAAGAUUUAUCGGUGAUGGAUGGGGAUGCGUCUGAUUAGCUUGUUGGCGGGGUAACGGCCCACCAAGGCGACGAUCAGUAGGGGUUCUGAGAGGAAGGUCCCCCACAUUGGAACUGAGACACGGUCCAAACUCCUACGGGAGGCAGCAGUGAGGAAUAUUGGUCAAUGGACGAGAGUCUGAACCAGCCAAGCAGCGUGCAGGAAGACGGCCCUAUGGGUUGUAAACUGCUUUUAUAAGGGAAUAAAGUGAGUCUCGUGAGACUUUUUGCAUGUACCUUAUGAAUAAGGACCGGCUAAUUCCGUAG